GAGGAAGAGGUUGGCGACGGAGUAAUUGAUCGGAGGUAGUUUUUCUUGCAUGCAAACUUGGAUUCUGAAUCAGGUUUUGAUAUCUACAAAAGCCCACCGAAGAAGCUAAGGGAAAGGAAACAAGUAAGGUUUGAUUUUGAAGCAGAAGGUUCAGUGAAGCCUAGUAGCUCGAAGGAUAAGGAGGU
Molecule: long non-coding RNA, 185 nt
Organism: Neltuma alba
Lineage: Eukaryota; Viridiplantae; Streptophyta; Magnoliopsida; Fabales; Fabaceae
Exons: 3
Source: RefSeq, a predicted model, not a curated record